Molecule: ribosomal RNA, 573 nt
Filed under: uncultured bacterium
Lineage: Bacteria
Description: partial 16S ribosomal RNA
Rfam family: Bacterial small subunit ribosomal RNA
Source: RNAcentral
UGGGGAAUUUUGGACAAUGGGCGAAAGCCUGAUCCAGCAAUGCCGCGUGUGUGAAGAAGGCCUUCGGGUUGUAAAGCACUUUUGUCCGGAAAGAAAUCCUUGGCUCUAAUACAGUCGGGGGAUGACGGUACCGGAAGAAUAAGCACCGGCUAACUACGUGCCAGCAGCCGCGGUAAUACGUAGGGUGCAAGCGUUAAUCGGAAUUACUGGGCGUAAAGCGUGCGCAGGCGGUUUGCUAAGACCGAUGUGAAAUCCCCGGGCCCAACCUGGGAACUGCAUUGGUGACUGGCAGGCUAGAGUAUGGCAGAGGGGGGUAGAAUUCCACGUGUAGCAGUGAAAUGCGUAGAGAUGUGGAGGAAUACCGAUGGCGAAGGCAGCCCCCUGGGCCAAUACUGACGCUCAUGCACGAAAGCGUGGGGAGCAAACAGGAUUAGAUACCCUGGUAGUCCACGCCCUAAACGAUGUCAACUAGUUGUUGGGGAUUCAUUCCUUAGUAACGUAGCUAACGCGUGAAGUUGACCGCCUGGGGAGUACGGUCGCAAGAUUAAAACUCAAAGGAAUUGACGGGGUCAU